GACGAACGCUGGCGGCGUGCCUAAUACAUGCAAGUCGAACGCUGAAGGAGGAGCUUGCUCUUCUGGAUGAGUUGCGAACGGGUGAGUAACGCGUAGGUAACCUGCCUGGUAGCGGGGGAUAACUAUUGGAAACGAUAGCUAAUACCGCAUAACAGUAGAUGUUGCAUGACAUUUGCUUAAAAGGUGCACUUGCACCACUACCAGAUGGCCCUGCGUUGUAUUAGCUAGUUGGUGGGGUAACGGCUCACCAAGGCGACGAUACAUAGCCGACCUGAGAGGGUGAUCGGCCACACUGGGAAGGAGACACGGCCCAGACUCCUACGGGAGGCAGCAGUAGGGAAUCUUCGGCAAUGGACGGAAGUCUGACCGAGCAACGCCGCGUGAGUGAAGAAGGGUGUCGGAUCGUAAAGCUCUGUUGUAAGAGAAGAACGAGUGUGAGAGUGGAAAGUUCACACUGUGACGGUAGCUUAACAGAAAGGGACGGCUAACUACGUG
RNAcentral lists this ribosomal RNA (495 nucleotides) under uncultured bacterium. RNAcentral's name for it is "partial 16S ribosomal RNA". It matches the Rfam family "Bacterial small subunit ribosomal RNA", at positions 28 to 507 of the family's 1533-position model. The record is from RNAcentral.